GAUGAACGCUGGCGGCGUGCCUAACACAUGCAAGUCGAACGGCAGCACGGUCUAGCUUGCUAGAUGGGUGGCGAGUGGCGAACGGGUGAGUAACGCGUAGGAAUAUGCCUUGAAGUGGGGGACAACUUGGGGAAACUCAAGCUAAUACCGCAUAAUUUCUUAGGAAAAAAGCUGGGGACCUUAGGGCCCGGCGCUUCAAGAUUAGCCUGCGUACGAUUAGCUAGUUGGUAGGGUAAGAGCCUACCAAGGCGACGAUCGUUAGCUGGUCUGAGGGGAGGGGCAGAAACACUGGAACGGAGUAACGGUCCAGACUCAUACGGGGGGCAGCAGUGGGGAAUAUUGGACAAGGGGGGCAACCCUGGGCCAGCAAUGCCGCGUGUGGGAAGAAGGCAUGAGGGUUGUAAAGCACUUUCAGUGGGGAGGAGGAUUGCCAGGUUAAGAGCUAGGUAAGUGGACGUUACCCACAGAAGAAGCACCGGCUAACUCCGUGCCAGCCGCCGCCGUAA
This 506-nucleotide ribosomal RNA is filed under the name uncultured bacterium. RNAcentral describes it as "partial 16S ribosomal RNA". It matches the Rfam family "Bacterial small subunit ribosomal RNA", at positions 28 to 523 of the family's 1533-position model. The record is from RNAcentral.